RNAcentral lists this ribosomal RNA (1467 nucleotides) under Triticum aestivum (bread wheat). Its description in RNAcentral is "partial small subunit ribosomal RNA". Lineage: Eukaryota; Viridiplantae; Streptophyta; Magnoliopsida; Poales; Poaceae. The record is from RNAcentral.
AUGAAGCUUGACAGGGAGAUGGAGAUGCUCCUCAACGAGAUCCCUCUCCUCCUCCACGGCGACGUCCUCGGCUGCGGCGAGCCAGCCGCCGCGGAGACCGACACCGAUGCCGUCGAUUUCUCUUACCUCAUCCAAGAACUCGGCGAGAUGGGGUUCGUCGAGGACGACGACGAUGACGACGACAACGCUUUCCUUCACCCCAGGAAGGCCAGCUCAUCCCCGACGAGCAACCUCCAUUUCAUGGACGCCGAGAAUUUCGUGGCGUCGCGUCCCUUCUCCAUGGACAAAGACCGCGAGAGGGCUCUGUUCGAUCCGUUCCCCUUCUCCAGCACCUGCUUCGACGCCGCCGUGGGCGACGACUGGGACCUCCUGUGUCCGCCGGCGAGGUCCCGGCUGUGCAAGACGGCGAGGCCGAAGAAGGGUACCUGCAGCCAUGGCAACGGCUGCCAGGCGACGAGCCCCAAGAAGUGCGCGGCGGCGAAGCCGUCCAAGUACGAGAGCCUUGUCGGGCUGCGCGGGUACAUGUACCACGUGGCCAGGGACCAGCACGGCUGCCGGUUUCUCCAGCAGCGGCUCGACGACGGCAAGCGCGAGGUCGAUUUCAUCUUCACCGGCGUCGCCCGUCACGCCGUCGACCUGAUGGUGAACCCAUUCGGGAACUACCUCAUGCAGAAGCUGCUAGCCGUCUGCAGCGAGGAGCAGAGGAUGGGCAUCGUGCUCACCCUCACAAAGGACCCCUUCGUGCUCGUCAGGAUCUCUCUCAAUGUACAUGGGACAAGGGCCGUACAGAAACUGAUUGAAAGCUUGAGGGCAAGGGAGGAGAUCCAGCUGGUCGUCGCAGCUCUGCGCCCCGGGUUCCUGGAGCUCAUAAAGGAUCCUAAUGGUAACCAUGUCGUGCAGAAGUGCUUGCAAUCGUUCGGGGCCGAUGAUAACAAGCCCAUCUUCGAUGCUGCUGCUGUUUAUUGCCUUGAUAUCGGGAUGCAAUGCCAUGGCUGCUGCGUCCUGCAGCGGUGUAUUGCGCGUUCGACGGGUGAGCACAAGGAGAAGCUGGUUGCCGCAAUCGCUCGCAAUGGGUUCGAACUUGCACAAGAUGCCUAUGGAAACUAUGUUGUUCAGUAUGUGAUAGAACUAAAGGUCGCUACUGCAAAUGCAAGUCUGGCACAGCAGUUUGAAGGCAAGUACAUCCACCUCUCCAUGCAGAAGUUCAGCAGCAACGUUGUCGAGAAAUGCCUGAAAGUUUUCAAGGAAGCCGACAAAGCCAACAUCAUCCUGGAGCUCCUUUCUGCGCCGCAGUUCGAGCGGUUGCUUCUGCACCCUUACGCAAACUAUGUGGUCUACGCAGCACUUCAGAAUUCCAAGGGGUCUCUCCACUCAGCACUGACCAACGCCAUCCGGCCUCAUGUGGAACUACUCAGAACCAGCCCAUACUGCAAGAGGAUCUACUCUCGAGCUUUGCUGAAGAAGUGA